UCGGUCGGUUGUCGCUGGCCUUUUGCUAGGCAUGUGCACCCUUUACGAGGAGACCUCGCCUUAUGGGCGCGGGCCCCGCGCCCGCGUCUUCAUAUACCUCUUCGUGUAGAAAGUCUUUGAAUGUUUAUACUAUCGUCGAGUCGCGACUUCUAGGAGACGCGGUUCGACGAGACAAAAGUUAUUACAACUUUCAGCAAUGGAUCUCUUGGCUCUCGCAUCGAUGAAGAACGCAGCGAAUCGCGAUAUGUAAUGUGAAUUGCAGAUCUACAGUGAAUCAUCGAAUCUUUGAACGCACCUUGCGCUCCUCGGUGUUCCGAGGAGCAUGCCUGUUUGAGCGUCAGUAAAUUCUCAACCCCUCUCGAUUCGCUUCGAUAGGGCGUUUGGAUAGUGGGGGCUGCCGGAGACCUCGACUUUUCGUCUAGGACUCGGGCUCUCCUGAAAUGAAUAGGCUUGCGGUCGGCUUUCGACUAUGCAUGACAAGGGUUUCGGCGU
RNAcentral lists this ribosomal RNA (492 nucleotides) under uncultured Suillus. RNAcentral's name for it is "eukaryotic LSU rRNA". The stretch from base 186 to 340 matches the Rfam family "5.8S ribosomal RNA". The record is from RNAcentral. Lineage: Eukaryota; Fungi; Basidiomycota; Agaricomycetes; Boletales; Suillaceae.